RNAcentral lists this long non-coding RNA (202 nucleotides) under Monodelphis domestica (gray short-tailed opossum). RNAcentral describes it as "lncRNA (ENSMODG00000043609.1)". Lineage: Eukaryota; Metazoa; Chordata; Mammalia; Didelphimorphia; Didelphidae. The record is from RNAcentral.
AGACAAUAAGGCAAAGUUGCCAAAGCUAAAAGGCCUUUUUAAUCACCCUGAAGUUAGUCAAAAAGCCUGCCCUUUACAACAAGAGUUAUCCAACUGGAAGCAGUUACCAAUGCCCAUAUAUGGGCAAGUGCUCAAAGAAGAUAACAAGGAUCCCACAGAUGAAAAAUAUGAAAGCUUCAUUUCUAAUAUAACUUCAAGCUAA